RNAcentral lists this transfer RNA (138 nucleotides) under Penicillium olsonii. RNAcentral describes it as "tRNA-Arg". It matches the Rfam family "tRNA". Rfam says of the family: Transfer RNA (tRNA) molecules are approximately 80 nucleotides in length. Their secondary structure includes four short double-helical elements and three loops (D, anti-codon, and T loops). Lineage: Eukaryota; Fungi; Ascomycota; Eurotiomycetes; Eurotiales; Aspergillaceae. The record is from RNAcentral.
UGGCGGUUUGGCCGAGUGGUCUAAGGCGAUUGAGUACGUUCCAAUUUACUCAAGUAAUCCACCAUCACUCACUAACCAUUCCUUCAGCUCGAAAUCAAUUCUCUUCGGAGGCGCAUGUUCGAAUCAUGCAGCCGUCGU